Peromyscus californicus insignis is the source of this 1433-nucleotide long non-coding RNA. RefSeq lists it as uncharacterized. Lineage: Eukaryota; Metazoa; Chordata; Mammalia; Rodentia; Cricetidae. The record is from RefSeq and is a predicted model, not a curated record. The transcript has 2 exons.
GACGCCUCCGCGGCCGCCAGGGACGGAAGCGCGACGCGAAGCUCGCGUCUCUCCCCGAAAUCCUCCCCCUUCUGAUUUUCUACGCUUCUCCACACCCUUCCCCUCGGCGUUCGGUUUUGCUUUUGUUGUGUUGGGUUUUGUUUUUGCCACGCCAGGCUUCUCUCUGGCCACCUCUCUCUGGGCAUCGAGGACUCCGCGGGCCGCGCGGGGAGCGUUUCUCACGGGGUCCUUAGCCUGGUAGUCAAGGUGACCCGGGGGUGGCUGGGCUCAGGCCUCCGCCGAGGAGGGUGCUGGGGCGGGGGUGGGGGGCAUGAUCACGCCCUUUACUGUUGUAGGGAGAAGGAGCAGGAUUUACCCAAAACGACAUGGGCAGCGUAGCAGCUUGGGAGAUGGAGGUUUGCAUUCUGUCCAAGCGUUGAAAAAUAAACGGUGGGGUUUGAGGGCUAUGCAGCUUCCCAUAGUUGUAUUCAUUAGAGCAGAAUGCUCUUAGUCCCACCACAACAGCGCCAUGGUUCAGCCUGGAUUUUUUCCCCCUACGUAUAUGGUACUCCCUCCUCGGAGAUGCUGCAUUCAUCAGAAGCGAUGUCCUGCGGACCCGCUGCAUCCUAAAUAUAAGCGCGAGCUUCCCCUAUCAGCACACGUCACCACUCAGUAGGUACGUUGUCACCAACCAGCUGGCCGCGUCCCGACCAACUCCGAAGCUCCCGGGAUCCCUCAGCAUCUGACACCUAGGGAGGCGCGUUGGCGUAGGAGCCGGUGGCGCCCUCUAGUGUUGGCGCUCACAGACGCCGCCGCUUUUGUGUUAGCCUAGGAGUAAGUGGGGAUCCUUCACCCCGGUGAAGUAGGAAGUGCUGAAGCUCCAGAGAGUGAAGAUCUGGGGUUUAGGGCUUUGAAGACAGUUCCCAGGAACUCUUCUAGUGACCUCGACGGCAGGCUCUCAGCCACUUCUUUCUUCCUGUUGUUACCAGCUCAGCCUAAAAGGCCAGAGAAGACCUCUCAAGGGAAGACUUUUAUUGGACUUAUCCCAGCUGACCCAUCAACUUCCCAGGACAGCCUUUGGCAGUGUUCUGAGGAGGGUGAAUGAAAAUGAGAAACGGCGCGAUAAAAAGAGGAUGCUUCCAUCACCAACUGACUCGUCAUGGGCAUUUUAUUGACACUCUGCUGUUACAUGGGGAAGCAAGGUGUUGAGGCACGGAAAGGAAUCCAUGAAUGUGGAUGCCACAGCGUCACUUCAGCUCUGGGAGCUGUAAGCCUUGGGAAACAGCAAAGAGGGAGAGCCAACAAAGGGACAGACCAGCUCACUAGGAACAGAGAGAGACGCUAAGAGGUUCAUAUACUUGGGACCCUGAGAGAGAGAGGGAGGGGCUAAAUGACAUUAUCAUUUCAACUUUUCAGGGGUCAUGAUGUGCCUUCGGAGAACAGGAAAAACAAAC